This is a long non-coding RNA of Zalophus californianus (California sea lion), 1200 nucleotides long. RefSeq lists it as uncharacterized. The transcript is spliced from 4 exons. NCBI's taxonomy places the organism in Eukaryota, Metazoa, Chordata, Mammalia, Carnivora, Otariidae. The record is from RefSeq and is a predicted model, not a curated record.
GGUCCUCCCUGACGGCCACGCCCAGCAGGCUGACCAUGCGGCCCAGCUGGAUGAAGAGCUCCUGCUUCAGGUCCUCAAAGUGCACCACCAGCACCUUCUUGCCAAACUUGAGCCAGUCCAGCGUUUUAUUACCUUGCUGUGGUGAUCUGGCAGGGGGACUGCCACCAGCUUGGGGAAGAUGUGUUAGGAUGGUCUGACUUGAAGGCAGGCUACAACAGAAUGUGGGUGUUUGCUUGGGGAGCCCCAGAGAGGACCUCAAAGAGCCACCAGCCAGCCCUGGAGCUGCUGAAAUGGACAGAACGAGAAGCCGGGAUCUGCCUGCUCCUGAGUUCCCUGCUGCAUCCCUGCUGGUUGAGCACACGGGCUGCUCUUAUGGCAGAGGCCCAGGUGGAUGAAGGCGGGACUCCGUUGCCCAGGAGCAUGCAGGAUUCGAACCCUGUCUAUCCAGACUGAGCCUGGCUCCUGCCCUCCUACAAGCCCUUCUAGAGCUCCUGUUUGGAUCAGCUCCUUCAGGUGUCAUCUAAGACUCGGGGUCUGUGCACAGCCCACUUUGGAGGCAGACUGGCAGCAUUCACGACCCACUUCCUCUCUACGUUAGCUGUGACAGUGUGGGGAUCUCAGUCGGUCUCCUCGUGGCUCAGUUUACCCAUCUGCAAAACAACUGUGCUAAGACCUGCAUCCUGCAUGUACAGAUGGAAUGGAAGCACACAGCCAAGGACCGCGGGCCUGGGAACCAGGAGGUCCUCCCUCAAUACUGACUGCUGUCACAAGGACUGUUGAUGCAGAUGCCCUGGCGUCACCAAGAUGCACCCCCUCAUGUCCCAUCAGCUGGGUCAGAGCUUCCCACUGACAACACUCGAGUGCCCCAGGCUGCUUCAGCAACAGCUGUUCGCCUACCCCCCCCCAACCCCGGAUUCCUCCCUGGGGGCUCCUGAACUACUACAUCGGGAAGAAUAAAAACAGCCCUGAUGAUGAUGAGUACAGGAUCCCCUUCACCAUGGGUCACGAAGGCACGCUGAGCCCUGGACCAUGGGUCACGGCGCCGGUUUCGCCGAACUGUCACCCGCGAGCGCCUAGCAGGGUCCCGCCGGCCCCUCUGCGCUCCCUCCUCUUGUCCGGAGGAACCGGGGCCUGAUGAAUAGCCUAACUGCGCUUAAUUCCCCGUGGAAUCAUUAAACACAGUCUGUUUCAUUAAAGAGA